This 719-nucleotide ribosomal RNA is filed under the name Aphelenchoides sp. Ap118. RNAcentral describes it as "SSU rRNA". It matches the Rfam family "Eukaryotic small subunit ribosomal RNA", at positions 982 to 1724 of the family's 1831-position model. The record is from RNAcentral. Lineage: Eukaryota; Metazoa; Nematoda; Chromadorea; Rhabditida; Aphelenchoididae.
AACGAAAGUCAGAGGUUCGAAGGCGAUUAGAUACCGCCCUAGUUCUGACCGUAAAUGAUGCCAACUGUCAAUCCGCUGGUGUAUCUAAUGCACGGGCGGGCGGACUACCGGAAACGAAAGUCUUUCGGUUCCGGGGGAAGUAUGGUUGCAAAGCUGAAACUUAAAGGAAUUGACGGAAGGGCACCACCAGGAGUGGAGCUUGCGGCUUAAUUUGACUCAACACGGGAAACCUCACCCGGCCAGUACAUCGUGAGGAUUGACAGACCGAUAGCUCUUUCAUGAUUCGGUGAAUGGUGGUGCAUGGCCGUUCUUAGUUCGUGGAUUGAUUUGUCUGGUUUAUUCCGAUAACGAGCGAGACGCCAACUGUUAACUAGUGCGCCGAUUACUCCGGUUGUCCGGCGAUCACUUCUUAAAGGGAUUUGUGGUUGUAAACCUCAAGAAAUGGCGCAAUAACAGGUCUGUGAUGCCCUUAGAUGUUCGGGGCCGCACGCGUGCUACAAUGGUGGUAGCAGCGUGAUUGUCCUACUCCGAUAGGAGAUGGCAAACAGUUGAGUUAUUACUAUGGCUGGAAUUGAGUGUUGAAAUUUUCACUCAUGAACGAGGAAUUCCAAGUAAAUGCGCGUCAUCACCGUGCAUUGAUUACGUCCCUGCCCUUUGUACACACCGCCCGUCGCUCCCCGGGACUGAGUUGUUUCGAGAAAUCCACGGACCGGUGGCGU